This 561-nucleotide ribosomal RNA is filed under the name Debaryomyces sp. RNAcentral's name for it is "partial large subunit ribosomal RNA". It matches the Rfam family "Eukaryotic large subunit ribosomal RNA", at positions 52 to 628 of the family's 3401-position model. The record is from RNAcentral. Lineage: Eukaryota; Fungi; Ascomycota; Pichiomycetes; Serinales; Debaryomycetaceae.
GGAGGAAAAGAAACCAACAGGGAUUGCCUUAGUAACGGCGAGUGAAGCGGCAAAAGCUCAAAUUUGAAAUCUGGCACCUUCGGUGUCCGAGUUGUAAUUUGAAGAAGGUAACUUUGGAGUUGGCUCUUGUCUAUGUUCCUUGGAACAGGACGUCACAGAGGGUGAGAAUCCCGUGCGAUGAGAUGCCCAAUUCUAUGUAAAGUGCUUUCGAAGAGUCGAGUUGUUUGGGAAUGCAGCUCUAAGUGGGUGGUAAAUUCCAUCUAAAGCUAAAUAUUGGCGAGAGACCGAUAGCGAACAAGUACAGUGAUGGAAAGAUGAAAAGAACUUUGAAAAGAGAGUGAAAAAGUACGUGAAAUUGUUGAAAGGGAAGGGCUUGAGAUCAGACUUGGUAUUUUGCGAUCCUUUCCUUCUUGGUUGGGUUCCUCGCAGCUUACUGGGCCAGCAUCGGUUUGGAUGGUAGGAUAAUGACUAAGGAAUGUGGCUCUACUUCGGUGGAGUGUUAUAGCCUUGGUUGAUACUGCCUGUCUAGACCGAGGACUGCGUCUUUUGACUAGGAUGUUG